Panthera uncia (snow leopard) is the source of this 469-nucleotide long non-coding RNA. RefSeq lists it as uncharacterized. The transcript is spliced from 3 exons. NCBI's taxonomy places the organism in Eukaryota, Metazoa, Chordata, Mammalia, Carnivora, Felidae. The record is from RefSeq and is a predicted model, not a curated record.
CACUGGAGGAGGGGGAGGGGGGUUGGCCCUCUCACAGAGAGAGUCCCUCCUACGGGAUGGAUGAGAACCGGCGACACAGCCAAAAGAGGGUUGACACAGCUCUCGUCCGCUCACGCCUCGUACUGAGCCUCUCGAGCCUCUUGAUCAAAGGUUUCCCGUGUCCUUGGUAGACCGGGACCCAGCAAGCUUACCAACAGAACGGGGUUUCCAGCAGACCCACCGUGACAGCUCCUUCGGGGACCAGGAACAGGAAGAGGAAGAAAUAAAACCUUGGACAGCUCCAGGGACUGGCCACUGAGAUUGGCGAGAAACCAAAACAACCUGGAAUGUUUGCUUCCUUGUUUGAUGAGAGUGGUUAUCUACUUUACAGGAUAAAAGUUCUCUGUGAGAAAGGUAAAAUACAACAAAUAGAGAAGAAAAAGAAAAAAAAAACUGUGAUCUUGAGAAAUUUUCAUUAAAAUGUAAUUUU